GAGGGAGAGGCUUUGGAGGGAAGAUUUUUGGCGGGAGUGGAGGAAAAACCUUUGGUGAGAGCGGAGGAAAUACCUUUGGAGGUAGUGGAGGAAACACUUUAGGAGGGAACAGAUAUGGAUGGCCAAAGCUUUUCGAUGGAGGAAGUUUCCAUUUAGGCAGUGGUGGGAACUUAAAGUGAGGCCACAAGAAAGUUGAAGUGCAAGUUACAGGUGAAAAUUUCAGUUUUCCUGCAAGCCCAAAUGUGUGUUUUCCAUUGCUUUUGGACUUGAAAAUAAUCUUGGAAGACUCAAGACCGCUGUGAGCAGGGCAUGGUGUUGCUGAGGCACUGCGUAGUUGAGCAUAGCAUUCUUCCUUU
This 356-nucleotide unclassified non-coding RNA is filed under the name Hevea brasiliensis (rubber tree). Lineage: Eukaryota; Viridiplantae; Streptophyta; Magnoliopsida; Malpighiales; Euphorbiaceae. The record is from RNAcentral.